Molecule: ribosomal RNA, 399 nt
Filed under: uncultured bacterium
Lineage: Bacteria
Description: partial 16S ribosomal RNA
Rfam family: Bacterial small subunit ribosomal RNA
Source: RNAcentral
AAUAUUUGACAAUGGGCGAAAGCCUGAUCCAGCCAUGCCGCGAGAGUGACGAAGGUAUUCGGAUUGUAAAGCUCUUCUGGCGGGGACGUUACUCACGGACACCGCAAAAUAAGCUCCGGUUAACUUCGUGCCCGCACCCGCGGUAAUACGAAGGGGGCUAGCGUUGUUCGGAAUUACUGGGCGUAAAGCGCACGUUGGCGGAUUGUUAAGUUAGGGGUGAAAUCCCGGGGCUCAACCUCGGAACUGCCUUUGAUACUGGCAAUCUUGAGUCCGGAAGAGGUGAGUGGAAUUCCUAGUGUAGAGGUGAAAUUCGUAGAUAUUAGGAAGAACACCAGUGGCGAAGGCGGCUCACUGGUCCGGCACUGACGCUGAGGUGCGAAAGCGUGGGGAGCAAACAGG